Molecule: transfer RNA, 76 nt
Filed under: Chloroflexota bacterium
Lineage: Bacteria; Bacillati; Chloroflexota
Description: Chloroflexi bacterium tRNA-Arg
Rfam family: tRNA
About the family: Transfer RNA (tRNA) molecules are approximately 80 nucleotides in length. Their secondary structure includes four short double-helical elements and three loops (D, anti-codon, and T loops).
Source: RNAcentral
GUCCCCGUAGCUCAGUGGAUAGAGCAACCGCCUUCUAAGCGGUCGGUCGCAGGUUCGAAUCCUGCCGGGGACGCCA